Molecule: ribosomal RNA, 373 nt
Filed under: uncultured organism
Description: partial 16S ribosomal RNA
Rfam family: Bacterial small subunit ribosomal RNA
Source: RNAcentral
GUAGGUGGCAAGCGUUGUCCGGAAUUAUUGGGCGUAAAGCGCGCGCAGGCGGUUCUUUAAGUCUGAUGUGAAAGCCCACGGGCUCAACCGUGGAGGGUCAUUGGAAACUGGGGAACUUGAGUACAGAAGAGGAAGGCGGAAUUCCACGUGUAGCGGUGAAAUGCGUAGAGAUGUGGAGGAACACCAGUGGCGAAGGCGGCUUUCUGGUCUGUAACUGACGCUGAGGCGCGAAAGCGUGGGGAGCAAACAGGAUUAGAUACCCUGGUAGUCCACGCCGUAAACGAUGAGUGCUAAGUGUUAGGGGGUUUCCGCCCCUUAGUGCUGCAGCUAACGCAUUAAGCACUCCGCCUGGGGAGUACGGCCGCAAAGGCUG